UUGCUAAUGUGUUCUUGGAUGAAUGCAAGACUGCAGAAGUCUCGGAAACAGGCCCGGAGAAAUUUGUUUGGCUCGAAGAGGACGAGGAAGGUAAUCCUCUCCCAAAAAGGAGUAGAACGGGGGAGGAGCGCAAACGUGGUUCAUCCACAGAAGCACGGACCCAUCAUGUGCUCCAUCUUCUAGUGGACAACAGAGAAUGACUGGGACCAUUCAAGACAUAG
Long non-coding RNA from Melanotaenia boesemani (Boeseman's rainbowfish), 221 nucleotides. RefSeq lists it as uncharacterized. The transcript is spliced from 3 exons. NCBI's taxonomy places the organism in Eukaryota, Metazoa, Chordata, Actinopteri, Atheriniformes, Melanotaeniidae. The record is from RefSeq and is a predicted model, not a curated record.